GAUGCAGAGAUGCACCUGAAGCUGUGACCCCAAAGAGAAGCCCCGCUGGGAGAUUUGCAGGCCGGACCAGUCAAACCAUACAGGUCUGGGGCUUCAGGAGGAAGGGAGACCAGGGGUGCCACAGGGAACAUUCUAGAGAUGAAGAAACCAAGGCUCAGAGAGGUUAAGUGACUUGUUCGAGAUCACACAGCUGUCAAGACGCAGCAUCAGGACUCGAGUCGCACAUUAUGCUUUCCCAUAGGACUCUGCCUUCCCUGAUGCCCCUUGAUUCUCAGGGAAAUGAAUACUCCAGAAUUUAUUUAUUUGACAGAGAGAGACACAGCGAGAGAGGGAACACAAGCAGGGGG
Zalophus californianus (California sea lion) is the source of this 347-nucleotide long non-coding RNA. RefSeq lists it as uncharacterized. The record is from RefSeq and is a predicted model, not a curated record. Lineage: Eukaryota; Metazoa; Chordata; Mammalia; Carnivora; Otariidae. The transcript has 3 exons.